Molecule: ribosomal RNA, 348 nt
Filed under: Galeommatoidea sp. MN19389
Lineage: Eukaryota; Metazoa; Mollusca; Bivalvia; Galeommatida
Description: partial 16S ribosomal RNA
Rfam family: Archaeal large subunit ribosomal RNA
Source: RNAcentral
CCCGGUGAUAUUUUAACGGCCGCAGUUAGAAGCUGUGCUAAGGUAGCGUAGUAAGUUGUCCUUUAAAUGGGGAAAGGAAUGAAUGGUUUGACGUGGGGAUUACUGUCUCUGGCAAAGAGGGAAAAAUUUUCUUUUCGGUGAAAAGCCCGAAAUUUAAUUAAAAGACGAGAAGACCCUUUCGAGCUUGAUGUAAUUUUACAUAAUUGUGAAGUGUAAGUUUAGUUGGGGCAACUUGGGAGGAUGAUUAGACUCCUUUAAGAUUAUGGUGAUCCAAAAAUUUUGAAAAGAGAAAAAGCUACCGUAGGGAUAACAGCGUUAUCUUUUCUGAGAGAACAAAUUGAAGAAAAG